This 368-nucleotide ribosomal RNA is filed under the name uncultured organism. RNAcentral describes it as "bacterial SSU rRNA". It matches the Rfam family "Bacterial small subunit ribosomal RNA", at positions 526 to 896 of the family's 1533-position model. The record is from RNAcentral.
CGGAGGGUGCAAGCGUUGUCCGGAUUUAUUGGGUUUAAAGGGUGCGUAGGCGGCCUUAUAAGUCAGUGGUGAAAGCCCACAGCUCAACUGUGGAACUGCCAUUGAUACUGUAAGGCUUGAGUACAGACGAGGUAGGCGGAAUUGAUGGUGUAGCGGUGAAAUGCAUAGAUACCAUCAAGAACACCGAUUGCGAAGGCAGCUUACUAGGCUGUAACUGACGCUGAGGCACGAAAGCGUGGGGAGCGAACAGGAUUAGAUACCCUGGUAGUCCACGCUGUAAACGAUGAUUACUCGAUGUUGGCGAUACACAGCCAGCGUCUUUGCGAAAGCGUUAAGUAAUCCACCUGGGGAGUACGCCCGCAAGGGUG